Cricetulus griseus (Chinese hamster) is the source of this 136-nucleotide non-coding RNA. The record is from Rfam. Lineage: Eukaryota; Metazoa; Chordata; Mammalia; Rodentia; Cricetidae.
UGCAGUCAAGUCAAAUUCAGUCCCUGUCCUGUCAUGGCAGGAACUGGCCCAGAUGGCUGCCACAACAAGUCCUGCUGCUCAUGGGCCCUGGGUCCCCUGUCCUGGGACCUAGGGAUAAGUUUAGCUGCAGACAUUG